Non-coding RNA from Bos taurus (domestic cattle), 72 nucleotides. Lineage: Eukaryota; Metazoa; Chordata; Mammalia; Artiodactyla; Bovidae. The record is from Rfam.
UCCCUGGUGGUCCAGUGGCUAAAACUUCAUGCUCCCAAUGCAGGGGUGCAGGUUCAAUUCCUGUCCAGGGAA